UUCGGAGUCCGAGUUGUAAUUUGUAGAAGAUGCUUUGGGUUGUGGGCUCGGCCUAAGUUCCUUGGAACAGGACGUCAUAGAGGGUGAGAAUCCCGUAUGUGGCCAUGGCCCGCGCCUAUGUAAAGCUCUUUCGACGAGUCGAGUUGUUUGGGAAUGCAGCUCAAAAUGGGUGGUAAAUUUCAUCUAAAGCUAAAUAUGGGCCAGAGACCGAUAGCGCACAAGUAGAGUGAUCGAAAGAUGAAAAGCACUUUGGAAAGAGAGUUAAACAGUACGUGAAAUUGUUGAAAGGGAAGCGCUUGCAACCAGACUUGGGCGCUGCCGAUCACCCCGAGUUCUCUCGGGUGCACUCGACAGCGCACAGGCCAGCAUCGGUUCGGGUGGCUGGAUAAAGGCCGUAGGAAUGUAGCUCUCUUCGGGGAGUGUUAUAGCCCACGGUGCCAUGCAGCCCAGCCGGACCGAGGACCGCGCCUUCGGGCUAGGAUGCUGGCGUAAUGGUUGUAAGCGACCCGUCUUGAAACACGGACCAAGGAGUCUAACAUCUAUGCGAGUGUUUGGGCGUUAAACCCAUACGCGGAAUGAAAGUGAACGUAGGUGAGAACCCCUUUGGGGCGCAUCAUCGACCGAUCCUGAUGUCUUCGGAUGGAUUUGAGUAAGAGCAUAGCUGUUGGGACCCGAAAGAUGGUGAACUAUGCCUGAAUAGGGUGAAGCCAGAGGAAACUCUGGUGGAGGCUCGCAGCGGUUCUGACGUGCAAAUCGAUCGUCAAAUUUGGGCAUAGGGGCGAAAGACUAAU
This 791-nucleotide ribosomal RNA is filed under the name Erysiphe macleayae. RNAcentral's name for it is "eukaryotic LSU rRNA". It matches the Rfam family "Eukaryotic large subunit ribosomal RNA", at positions 130 to 935 of the family's 3401-position model. Lineage: Eukaryota; Fungi; Ascomycota; Leotiomycetes; Helotiales; Erysiphaceae. The record is from RNAcentral.